AAGAUGGCGGCGGCGGCCCUGUGGAAAGGGAGGUUCGCUGCGGUUCAUAGCGGCUGAUUCUCGGCCUGUUCUCCCUUCGUUAGUGCAGCUUUUUAAAACUUUUUUAAAAAAGUUUUAAAAAGGUGAUUGCUCUGUUUCCCUUUCCCGCUUUAUUUCUUUCCUUUCUUUUUUUCCUCCUAAAUGUCCUGCUGGGAAUGUGUGUGGAUUUCUGAAAGCUGCCAGUUUUUAAUGCCAUGGCUUUGAGGGAGCUGAAAGUUUGUCUGCUUGGGGACACGGGUGUUGGUAAAUCCAGCAUUGUUUGGAGGUUUGUGGAAGAUAGUUUUGACCCAAACAUCAAUCCCACAAUCGGGGCUUCUUUUAUGACAAAGACAGUACAAUAUCAAAGCGAGUUGCACAAGUUCCUGAUCUGGGACACAGCUGGUCAGGAGAGGUUCCGUGCUUUAGCGCCAAUGUACUAUCGGGGAUCAGCUGCUGCAAUCAUUGUAUAUGAUAUCACAAAAGAGGAGACUUUACAAACGUUGAAGAACUGGGUGAAGGAACUGCGACAGCAUGGACCUCCAAAUAUAGUUGUAGCAAUUGCAGGAAAUAAAUGUGAUCUUACUGAUGCCAGAGAAGUACUUGAAAAGGAUGCCAAGGAUUAUGCAGAUUCCAUCCAUGCAAUCUUUGUGGAAACUAGUGCCAAAAAUGCCAUUAACAUUAAUGAGUUGUUUGCAGAAAUCAGUCGUCGGAUUCCUUCAACAGCUGUCAACCCACCAACAAACAGCAAAGGAUUCAAGCUAAGGAGACAACCUUCUGACCCAAAACGUAACUGUUGCUGACCUUUUUCCAUGAGUGGACUUCUUCGGAGCAACGUGUAAAAAGAUGGAUGGAUCCCUGUAAAUCCAUCCCUCUUGCAUUCAGCUUUUCUGCUGUGCUCUCCUUGAAGAAAGAGUAAUAGCUGUUCUCAAAAUUAUAAUUCCCUUUUUCCUCAACAAAAGUGCUCUGAGCAACACUUUGACUGCUUGAGUUCCACACUUCGUGUCCAACAGCAGAGAAACCUAUGAACUAGGGAAUAUAUAUAUGGUAUGAUGUUCAACAGGAGUCUGGUACAGAAGUGCAAAACAAAACUUUAUGGGUUUUUUCUUUGUGUGUAGAUAAACUUCAUUAUUGCAUAAAAAGGGAAAUUAUAAAAACUGAAGCACUUUGUUUAGUUUGUGUUUUGUAAUCAACAAUUGGAUUCCCUUUUUAAAAGUACACUUUGUCGCCCCACAGAUUUGCAAUCUGAAGUGAUUCUUGUGUUAAACCUUUUGAACCCACUUUUCAGAAGUGCAUAGCUAAGCACAUUACUACUCCGUACCUGUAACUCUCCAAAAGAGCCUUUUCCGUUUUUGUUUAACGAAGGUACAGUUCAGUCUGUAAAACAACUAUUUGAACUCAAGCUCGUGGGAUUGAAAGGAUCAAAGACACCUCGAUCUCUGUCUGUUAUCCUCUACAGCUGUUCCCUUUGGCCAUUAAGAAUAUCCAAGUGAGAUGAAGUACUGUCAUUUCAAAGAUGGAUGCCAUGUCAUCAUUCUUAAAAUUAACUUGGAAGCUGGGCAGUUUAGUUAUGGAUGCAUAAUAACAAUUGUGGAGAGACUAUCCAAGAACAAGCAAGCACAUGAGGGCAAGAGAUUUCAGUCAUAACUUCAGAGCUGGAUUCCUCUGGGUGUUUUAACAUAAGAGCUCUGCAUGUAGGAAUGUACCAGUGACAGUAGAAAAGGGGGCAAUACAGGACGUGAUGGCAGUGAAGAGUCACCAUCCUAUGUAAUGGUCAAUCACAGUUCAAACUAUGUUAGCUGCAUGUAUGAAAAGUAUUAGUGAGAAAAUCACACCUAGUGACAAUCAGGCCUAACUGGUGUUAGUAACCUGACCUGGGAUAUCUCCAUGACAUGGUUUAGUUUAUUCUGAAAAAUUAGUUGCACAAAAAAUACAAAAGCUGUAAGGAUAGCUGCAUGGUCUUAGCCAUUAACCGAUUCAUGGGUAAUACUUGCCGAUGGCUGAGAUCUUUUUUGAGGCUGACUGCUUGGAGGAACAUUUUAGUAGAAAGCUCAACCGGCCAAGAAAAGGAUCCAGAUAAAACAAGCUAAUGAAUCAUUCAACCUGUGCCUUCGUCUACAACAUGGCUGCCCUGGUAGAAUGGAGUCUUUGAGUGACACUGCAAUGUUGAAGCUCAAGAAUCCCAUCCAAAAUGUCAUGAUCCUACUCUUAAGGUAUGAAUGUAGCAUUUCAGACUGAAGAGUUGCUCAAUCUUCUGUGAUGAGCGGUCAGGAUCGCACUAGCCACCACUAGCAGAUGAUUUCCCUGGCAUGGUAAAGCUGCUUGGUCCCACUUUUUAAUGAAAGGGAAUACUAAGGGAGUAAAUCAGUGAAUAAAUCAGCAUCCUCUGCUCGUCUCCCCAUCAGCUCCAUUCCAUUUUUAUCUAAACAAUUUCAAUUGUCAUUGAUAGGAUUUGCCAAAACCAGAAGUCCACAAUGUUACCGCAGGCUAUAUUGUAACCUUUAAAAGAUUAGGUUGACCACGUAAGUCUUGUUUUUUAAUCAGUAACCUGGUAGAAUGCAGAACUCAAAUUAUUCUCAUGGUCCCAGUAGUCACAAUAUUCCUACUGUUAAGCAGCUUCAGUUGUUCUUUCUAUUUGUACGUCUGGCUUUCUUAACAAAUCUUUGCUUCCACCUUGGUGCCCAUCACCUUUUUUAAAUGCAGUCUCUUUGUGGAAAGGAAAUGUGCACUUUUGAGCCACACAGCUUUUCAGAUUGCCAUUUUAGAAAGUUGGGUUGCGGUGCAUGAAGCAUACUUUUCAACUGUUUGCUCAUCUCCAGUUUUCCAAAUGAUUGGAAAGACUUAAGUUGUUCAUCACUCAUACUGCUAUGACCAGAGGGCACUGAUAUGUGGGCAUUUUUCUUGCAAUGUUGCUACUUUCUAAGUGUCCCUCAAUUUAACUUUCUCCCGUUGAUGUUUGGAUCAGUCUUGUUGUAUCCCAGCAUUUGAUGGCUGACUUUGACCCCUGUCAUAAACCAGUUAGAGAUAAUAAUUAAAACUUGCAAUGCUGAAAGUAGAAUUCAUAUUACAGUUCCAAUUUGAGGUUGUGCUUUCAUCCUUCAUAGAGCAACAUAGGAUUGAGUGUGCCCUAUCAUUUGGAUUGUGUCUCAGUUGUGAUUGGAUCUUUUUCACUAAUAGCACAAGUACCUAACACCUCAGUCCAUCCCCAGCAGCUUUAUAAUAUCUGGCUACACAAUUUCUUGCUAGACUCCAGCUUGAUGCAUGGAAGUUUGGGGUAUCAGCAGGUCAAGUUCUGUCUCACAUUGAUCUAGAUGUAUUUUGCAGCAUUUCUGCCCAAAGUAAGCUUUAGUUUGUUUGGGUGGCUGUUGCAAAUUAAAACUUUGUUACAUAAUCAGUGUUUCAAACUAGGCUGAGUUUAAAAUGUUGGGAGUAAUGUAUUUAUCGAUGUCCCACCCUGAGCUGAGCACCACAGUCAACUUAUGGUUUAAAUCAAGCCUAUCCUUGUGUGAAACAUUUCUGCAUGCUGUUAUAUUUCUGAAUUCAUAAGACAAAGAUGAAGGUGGUGUCUGCAUUUUUCAGGACAAUCUGAGUGCAGAUUGACAUAAUCAAAAUGUUGGGGGAAAAGGAGCUGAUUUGCUGAUUUUUUUUUGUAUUUGGGAAGCAAUCUGGAGUCCAAUAUAUUAUCCUAAUGUAAUAUCUUAAAAAUUGAAUAGCUGUACAUACUUCCUGUAAGCUUUUUACAUUUGUGUCCAUAUCUGUACUAAAGUUGUCUAAAUAAUCUUGCCAUAGUAAAUCUUCACCCCCCCCCCACUCCCCCAGUUUUCCUCUCUAGAGAUGAUGCUUCAAUAUUGCAUUAUUAUAAUUUUCAUAAUCUCUUGGUUGCAGAUCAGAGUUUAUAAUGGUAACAUAACAAUUCUGGCCCCUUUUUACCAGAAACACACAGUUUUUGACUGCCAGUGUGGAAUACCAAAUUACUGCUUAUUAAUUAUAAACAGUGAAUAUUGAAAACUGAACAAAAAUCUGCUCUGAAAUUAUAUCCAUCCGUGCUUUUGAUCCACCAAAGCCUCGUGGUUUUGGAUGCCUUUAAAAUCCUUUUUUUAAAGCAGCAAAUAGUUUGAAGAAAUGUUCACUUAUUAUUAUUGCACUCUACUCGCAUAUGUUCACCUUCAACUGUGCAGAGCAAAGUCAUCCAAAGAUGUGCUGCCAUUUGCUCACCAUACUUAUUGCCUCCAUUUAUUGUGAAGUAUCCAAAAGCACAAGUGGUAGAAGCUGCCCUUAGACCUCAGCUGGCCAGGCCACAGUGUUCCACCCUGAUUAUCCUUGCUGCUGGGCACAGGGACUAUGGGUUUGAACCUAGAGGUAGCAUGAAUUAUAAUAUCAGAAUGCUUCACCACAGAUUGCAUAUUCUGCCUCACCGACAUGUUUCGAUCCAGAGUGUCAUCACUAAUUGAGUCUGUCGUCAACAGGGAAAAUUGAAUAAAGUCAGUAGAUUUAAUAAUGUGCUAAUAUGCCAGAAUUUUGUGCGAUGGCCUGAACUUGUGCAUGAUUCUGCAUUUAAUUUCAGGACAUAAAAGUCAAUGUGCUGUUCACUAGCUGUUGUAGUUAUAUUGUGGAUUCGGUCUCGUGAAGUGUGUUUCUGUUUAAACCAUGGAAUUGACCCUUUCUGCAAUCCCACUACCCAAAUCACGGUCAUGUAUUUUCAUUAGUUUGUUUUUUGCAGUAUGGGCCUGUUUGUACCACUGGUUGUAUACGGCAGAAGGGAGCGGUCAGCAACAGUACUACUAAGGUGCAAAGGGAUUUGCAGUUAAUUUCUUGAAUAGGCCACACGUCUACUGCUAUACAGUUAAAAUUUGUUCUGUCUCUCCAGCUGAUGUUUGACAAGACUCCAAAAUUGUACUGCUAACUUGUUUUUCAUUUGCUGGUUACUGUGGGUAAUUGAUACAGACCUAUUGUUGACGCUGAACUGAAUCCUAGUGACAACACUGGUACAAAUUGAAGUCUGCAACUCAUUUGGCUUUAGUGCAUGAAAUGUUGCCUAGUUACUAGUUGUGAAGAUGACAUUUUGCUAAGCUUAUUCAGAAGGUAGAACCAGACCAUGUAAAACCUGGGCUGGGCCCAGACAAAGGUAACUUGUUAAUCAGUGUACUUAUGUUACUCUAAACACCAGAAAGGCCGGUGUAUAACCUGUGUAAGAUUUCUUGUAGUAAAGAAGUGUAUCACUUGUAUUUUAGUUUGCAACCAGUACAUUUAGUGUAACACAUCAAUACAGAAUAAUUUAAGCCCAGAUUUGCUAAAUACGUAUUUGUUUGUAUAGCUAAUAAUUGCUCAAAUCACUACACCAUUCAUAAUGUAUUUCUAAUGUGCAAGAUAAUGUUGUAUGCAGAUUAUUAAUAAAGUUAAUACAUCUUUGUUUA
RNA transcript from Stegostoma tigrinum, 5429 nucleotides. It is a transcript of the gene named RAB22A, member RAS oncogene family, with no coding region annotated. The record is from RefSeq and is a predicted model, not a curated record. NCBI's taxonomy places the organism in Eukaryota, Metazoa, Chordata, Chondrichthyes, Orectolobiformes, Stegostomatidae. The transcript has 8 exons.